RNAcentral lists this long non-coding RNA (643 nucleotides) under Homo sapiens (human). RNAcentral describes it as "HSALNT0025360". The record is from RNAcentral. Lineage: Eukaryota; Metazoa; Chordata; Mammalia; Primates; Hominidae.
GUUCAGUAUGCUGCGUAUGUAACUGUGGGAGGCAUCACCUCUGUUAUUAAGCUGAUGUUUGCAGGACUUUUCUUUUUGUUCUUUGUGAGGUUUGGAAUUGGAAGGCAACUUCUCAUAAAAUUCCCAUGGUUCUUCUCCUUUGGCUAUUUUUCAAAACAAGGCCCAACACAAAAACAGAUUGAUGCUGCCUCAUUCACGCUGACAUUCUUUGGUCAAGGAUACAGCCAAGGCACUGGUACAGAUAAGAACAAACCAAAUAUCAAAAUUUGUACUCAGGUGAAAGGACCAGGCUGGCUAUGUGGCUACCCCCAUAGCUAUGGUUCAGGCAGCCAUGACUCUUCUAAGUGAUGCUUCUCAUCUGCCUAAGGCGGGCGGGGUCUUCACACCUGGAGCAGCUUUUUCCAAAACAAAGUUGAUUGACAGACUCAACAAACACGGUAUUGAGUUUAGUGUUAUUAGCAGCUCUGAAGUCUAAACACUGGAAGAAUUAACUGAAGUCAUAACGUGCGUGAAUUAACAGCUUCUCUAUUUGAUAUUUGAAAUUCUUCUGUAAGCCUGUCUGAGUGUAUGUGGAAACGAUUGUCAAAUCUAAAAUAUCUAUAUAUUAAAAAGUAGGAAAUUGUCCUAGCUUACCCUAAAUUUC